UACGUAGGAGGCAAGCGUUGUCCGGAGUUACUGGGCGUAAAGCGCACGCAGGCGGUCGUGUCAGUCUGGGGUGACAGUUUCCGGCUUAACCGGAAAAGGACUCUGGAAACUGCACGACUUGAGGGCUUCAGAGGGAUGUGGAAUUCCAGGUGGAGUGGUGAAAUGCGUAGAUAUCAGGAGGAACACCUGUGGCGAAAGCGGCUCACUGGACCAUAACUGACGCUGAUGCACGAAAGCUAGGGGAGCAAACAGG
This 253-nucleotide ribosomal RNA is filed under the name uncultured bacterium. RNAcentral describes it as "partial 16S ribosomal RNA". It matches the Rfam family "Bacterial small subunit ribosomal RNA", at positions 524 to 776 of the family's 1533-position model. The record is from RNAcentral.